UACGUAGGGUGCGAGCGUUAAUCGGAAUUACUGGGCGUAAAGCGUGCGCAGGCGGUUACUUAAGUCAGGUGUGAAAUCCCUGGGCUUAACCUAGGAAUUGCGCUUGAGACUGGGUAGCUUGGAGUGCGGCAGAGGGAGGUGGAAUUCCACGUGUAGCAGUGAAAUGCGUAGAGAUGUGGAGGAACACCGAUGGCGAAGGCAGCCUCCUGGGCCAGCACUGACGCUCAUGCACGAAAGCGUGGGGA
This 245-nucleotide ribosomal RNA is filed under the name uncultured bacterium. RNAcentral describes it as "partial 16S ribosomal RNA". It matches the Rfam family "Bacterial small subunit ribosomal RNA", at positions 524 to 767 of the family's 1533-position model. The record is from RNAcentral.